This 484-nucleotide ribosomal RNA is filed under the name uncultured bacterium. RNAcentral's name for it is "bacterial SSU rRNA". It matches the Rfam family "Bacterial small subunit ribosomal RNA", at positions 28 to 524 of the family's 1533-position model. The record is from RNAcentral.
GAUGAACGCUAGCGGCAGGCUUAAUACAUGCAAGUCGUACGGGAUCCGAGGUAGCAAUACUUUGGUGAGAGUGGCGCACGGGUGCGUAACACGUAUGCAACCUACCUUUAACCGGGACACAACCUCGAGAAAUUGAGGCUAAUAUCCCAUAACACUGCGAAGUGGCAUCAUUUUGCAGUUAAAACUCCGGUGGUUACAGAUGGGCAUGCGCGACAUUAGCUAGUUGGUGAGGUAACGGCUCACCAAGGCUACGAUGUCUAGGGGUUCUGAGAGGAUUAUCCCCCACACUGGUACUGAGACACGGACCAGACUCCUACGGGAGGCAGCAGUAGGGAAUAUUGCGCAAUGGGCGAAAGCCUGACGCAGCGACGCCGCGUGAGUGAUGAAGGCCUUAGGGUCGUAAAGCUCUGUUGAAUGGGAAGAAAAAAAUGACGGUACCAUUCGAGAAAGGACCGGCUAACUUCGUGCCAGCAGCCGCGGUAAU